UACCCCACUAUGCCUAGCCAUAAACUUUGAUUAUCCGCCAGAGUACUACGAGCCACAGCUUAAAACUCAAAGGACUUGGCGGUGCUUUAUACCCCCCUAGAGGAGCCUGUUCUAUAAUCGAUAAUCCCCGAUAAACCUCACCACCUAUUGCCAGUACAGCCUAUAUACCACCGUCCAGCCCGCCCUUUAAAGGAAAAACAGCAGGCAUAAUAACCAACAUUAAAACGUCAGGUCAAGGUGUAGCAAAUAAGAUGGAAAGAAAUGGGCUACAUUUUCUAAUUUAGAAUACACGGAUGAUUUUAUGAAAUAACUUCUGAAGGAGGAUUUAGCAGUAAAAAGAAACAAGAGUGUUCUUUUUAAACCGGCAAUAAAGCGCGCACACACCGCC
This 388-nucleotide ribosomal RNA is filed under the name Lyciasalamandra luschani (Lycian salamander). Its description in RNAcentral is "partial 12S ribosomal RNA". It matches the Rfam family "Bacterial small subunit ribosomal RNA", at positions 783 to 1394 of the family's 1533-position model. Lineage: Eukaryota; Metazoa; Chordata; Amphibia; Caudata; Salamandridae. The record is from RNAcentral.